This is a non-coding RNA of Schistosoma margrebowiei, 45 nucleotides long. The record is from Rfam. Lineage: Eukaryota; Metazoa; Platyhelminthes; Trematoda; Strigeidida; Schistosomatidae.
AUCCAGUUGAUGAGUCAAAGAUAGGAUGGAACGCGCGUCCUGGAU